GUGCUUGUUUCAGCAGCACAUAGACUAAAAUUGGAAUGAUACAGAGAAGAUUAGCAUGGCCCCAGCGCAAGGAUGACAAAUUCAUGAAGCAUUCUAUAAUUUU
Small nuclear RNA from Chlorocebus sabaeus (green monkey), 103 nucleotides. The record is from Ensembl. Lineage: Eukaryota; Metazoa; Chordata; Mammalia; Primates; Cercopithecidae.